UUGGGCGGAGCUCCACGGGCGCGUGCGCUGUGGCGGCGGUUGGGACAGAGGUCGGCGGCAGAGGGGGUGGAGGCGUGGAGCUGGGCGGGCGCGUGGAGGCAGCGGCCGGGAGUCCGGGACCGAGCUCGGCGGGCGCGCGGAGAUGGCGGCCUGGGUGGAGGUCAACGGGCGGGUGCGCAGAGCUGGAGGCCAGGGUGGGGCUCGAUGGCGCGCGACUAGCAGGGCACCGAUUCGAG
Molecule: long non-coding RNA, 236 nt
Filed under: Setaria viridis
Lineage: Eukaryota; Viridiplantae; Streptophyta; Magnoliopsida; Poales; Poaceae
Description: long non-coding RNA (SVIR_LNC009159)
Source: RNAcentral